AACGAGUGGCGAACGGGUGAGUAACACGUGGGUAAUCUGCCCUGCACUUUGGGAUAAGCCUGGGAAACUGGGUCUAAUACCGAAUAUGACCACGGGAUGCAUGUCCUGUGGUGGAAAGCUUUUGCGGUGUGGGAUGGGCCCGCGGCCUAUCAGCUUGUUGGUGGGGUGAUGGCCUACCAAGGCGACGACGGGUAGCCGGCCUGAGAGGGUGUCCGGCCACACUGGGACUGAGAUACGGCCCAGACUCCUACGGGAGGCAGCAGUGGGGAAUAUUGCACAAUGGGCGCAAGCCUGAUGCAGCGACGCCGCGUGGGGGAUGACGGCCUUCGGGUUGUAAACCUCUUUCACCAUCGACGAAGGUCCGGGUCUUCUCGGAUUGACGGUAGGUGGAGAAGAAGCACCGGCCAACUACGUG
This 415-nucleotide ribosomal RNA is filed under the name uncultured bacterium. Its description in RNAcentral is "bacterial SSU rRNA". It matches the Rfam family "Bacterial small subunit ribosomal RNA", at positions 90 to 507 of the family's 1533-position model. The record is from RNAcentral.